Long non-coding RNA from Camelus dromedarius (Arabian camel), 249 nucleotides. RefSeq lists it as uncharacterized. The transcript has 3 exons. Lineage: Eukaryota; Metazoa; Chordata; Mammalia; Artiodactyla; Camelidae. The record is from RefSeq and is a predicted model, not a curated record.
CAAAAAUUGAGCAUUUGCUGCCGGCAAAGGCACACGUUUGCAAAUGCUGAACAGUUGUGAGCCAUUAGAAAGGAAUCAGAAGGGAGGGAGCCUCCAGCCUCACAUAUUCCUAAGAAGGGCUCUGGAUAUGAAGCCCGCUUGAGAGACAGGAAAGCUGCUGCCAGAGGACGAGAGAUGGUAAAUCAGCAGCACAAAGAAACCAAAUGGCUGUGACUAGGAAUGAGAACUCUUGAUCACUAGAUGGCUGUU